RNAcentral lists this ribosomal RNA (397 nucleotides) under uncultured bacterium. Its description in RNAcentral is "partial 16S ribosomal RNA". It matches the Rfam family "Bacterial small subunit ribosomal RNA", at positions 523 to 918 of the family's 1533-position model. The record is from RNAcentral.
AUACGUAGGGGGCGAGCGUUGUCCGGAAUGAUUGGGCGUAAAGGGCGCGUAGGCGGCCCGGUAAGUCUGGAGUGAAAGUCCUGUUUUUAAGAUGGGAAUUGCUUUGGAUACUGUCGGGCUUGAGUGCAGGAGAGGUAAGUGGAAUUCCCAGUGUAGCGGUGAAAUGCGUAGAGAUUGGGAGGAACACCAGUGGCGAAGGCGACUUACUGGACUGUAACUGACGCUGAGGCGCGAAAGCGUGGGGAGCGAACAGGAUUAGAUACCUUGGUAGGCCACGCUGUAAACGAUGAAUGCUAGGUGUAGGGGGUAUCGACCCCUCCUGUGCCGGAGUAAACGCAAUAAGCAUUCCGCCUGGGGAGUACGGCCGCAAGGUUGAAACUCAAAGGAAUUGGCGGGG